Molecule: small nucleolar RNA, 76 nt
Organism: Bufo bufo (common toad)
Lineage: Eukaryota; Metazoa; Chordata; Amphibia; Anura; Bufonidae
Product: small nucleolar RNA snR60/Z15/Z230/Z193/J17
Exons: 1
Source: RefSeq, a predicted model, not a curated record
AGGAUGUCUAUGAUGAAAACAUAGUUCAGCUGAUCUUCUGUGAAGAACAGUCUUUCGCUCCUAUCUGAGUCAUCCU